Molecule: ribosomal RNA, 2163 nt
Filed under: Triticum aestivum (bread wheat)
Lineage: Eukaryota; Viridiplantae; Streptophyta; Magnoliopsida; Poales; Poaceae
Description: partial small subunit ribosomal RNA
Source: RNAcentral
AUGGCCUCUCGCCGGCGUCCUAGUCCUAGCACCCUAGUCUUCCUGGUGUUGCUAUACCUCUACUUCGCGCCAAGCUGCGCCUUAUCGCUCUCCUUCAACCUCAACUUCUCCGAUCCCAGCGCCGGUUCAUCCAUCGCCGUCGCCGGCGAUGCAUUCAUCAGCACGCCUCCAUUGACCCUCGAGCUGACCAGAAAUACACGUAGUGCGGGUAUUCAGGACAGCGUCGGCCGGGCGACCUACGCGCACAAAGUGCCGCUGUGGAGCAACGCAACCGGCGAGAUGGCUAGCUUCACCACCACCUUCUCCUUCCAAAUCACUCCAGACAAGGACAGCCUGCCGCUCACAGGCGAUGGGAUGGCCUUCUUCCUCGGCCAUUUCCCUUCGGCGAUCCCGCGGGACAGCUACGGCGGCAGCCUCGGCCUCCUCCUCACCAACACUAACGGUACAGGCGACGGUCGAAUCGUGGCCGUUGAGUUCGACACUUUCUUCAACACGCGAUAUGGAGAUAUCAACGGGAACCAUGUCGGCAUCGACAUCAACUCUGUCAACUCCACGGCGUCCACGAGCACGACGAGACAAGGCAAGAACCUCACGUCGCUCCAUGUUAUGGAAGCCACCAUCAAGUACCUGAAUGACUCCAAGAUGCUGGCCCUUGACCUCCUCAUCGACGAUGCCUUGUACCAGGUCAAUGCGACCGUCGAUCUGAGAAGAUACUUACCAGAGGAAGUCGCCGUGGGCUUCUCUGCGGCGACUGGCGACAUCACCGAGCUGCACCAGAUACUGUCAUGGUCAUUCAGUACCACUUUGCAGCUUGAAUCAAAGAAGGAAGCUCAACCUCUUCCGAUUCCAAGUUUUCCAACCACCAGCAGCAACAACCACAAAACGUUGGUACCAAUCCUUGUAUCCGUACUAGUUCCUCUCCUUUUUUUGGUGGUCUGUGCGGCGGUUGUGCUGGGAUGGCGGCGACACAAAAGAAGAAGAGCAAACAAUGAGGACAGCGAAGAAGAGUGUGACGACAGAGCUGACCUCGAGAGAGGUGUGGCUGCCGGCGGCCCUAGACGGUACGUGUACCAUGAGCUGGUCGCCGCAACAAACAACUUCGCGGAGGAGGAGAAGCUCGGGCGAGGUGGCUUCGGGAGCGUUUACAGGGGUCACCUCACACUCACACUCGCAGGCGCCGUCGGAGGUGACCAAGACCGUCGAGAGGUGGCGGUGAAGGUGCUGUCAGCAGAGUCGUCGUCACAGGGGAGGAAGGAGUUUGAGGCAGAGGUGAGGAUCAUCAGCAGACUCAAGCAUCGCAACCUUGUCCAAUUGUUGGGUUGGUGUGACAGCCGCAAGGGGCUCCUCCUUGUCUACGAGCUUGUCGCCGAGAGCAGCCUAGACAAGCACCUCUACAGCAAGGACGGCACGUAUCUGACAUGGCCACAGAGGUACAGCAUCAUGGUCGGCCUGGGAUCGGCGCUGCGCUACCUCCACGGGGAGUGGGAGCAGUGCAUCGUCCACGGCGACAUCAAGCCCAGCAACAUCAUGCUCGACUCGUCGCUGAGCACCAAGCUCGGGGACUUCGGGUUGGCCCGGCUCAUCAACCACGGCGCCGGGUUAAUGCAAACUACCAAGGCCGUGCUCGGAACUGUCGGGUACAUCGACCCGGAGUUCGUCAACACGCGCCGGCCCAGCACCGAGUCGGACGUGUACAGCUUCGGCGUCGUCCUCCUGGAGAUCGCCUCCGGCCGGCGGCCGGUGAUCGAGACCGCGGAGAGAUCCUUCACGCUGCUCAGCUGGGUGUGGGGCCUGUACGGGAGGGACGCCAUCCUUGACGCGGCGGACGAGCGGCUGAGGGGCGACGAGGCGGACGAGCGCUGGAUGGAGCGGGUGCUGGUCGUCGGGCUCUGGUGCGCCCAGCCGGACCAGAGCGAGCGGCCUAACAUGGCGCAGGCCAUGCAUGCCCUGCAGUCCAACGAGGCGAGGCUGCCGGCGCUCCCGCAGCACAUGUACAUGGCUGCACCGAGUCUUGCAUCGUCCGUCCCGUACGGGUCUUUCUCCGUUGACAGCUCCGGCUCCGGUUGCGUUCCAUCUUCUACGGUCAGCACCGGCAACACCACUGCUUCCUCCGAGUCGUCCUCCACCGCGCUGCUACGACAUUCCAAGGAUCAAGCUAACUGA